Molecule: long non-coding RNA, 423 nt
Organism: Spodoptera frugiperda (fall armyworm)
Lineage: Eukaryota; Metazoa; Arthropoda; Insecta; Lepidoptera; Noctuidae
Exons: 2
Source: RefSeq, a predicted model, not a curated record
CUAUGGUCAAAUUAUCAUUUUCAAUAUUGCUGUGGACAAAUCGUGAUAAUAAUUCUGCAGCUUUUAAUGCCUCUUCCGCGGUAGGUAAUGGGGCUUCCUCGACUUCCUCUUCCUCUUCCUCUUCCCCAUCACUUUCGAAUUUUUCCAGAGCACUAAUGUUCUGUACGAUAUUUUCAUCGGUGGGUUCUUCGGCUGGGGGAAUUAACGAACAUUAUUGAAGGUAAAGAAUCGUGCCGGUCAUUAUAACCGGACAUAAUUUAUUAAAAAUGGGUCAUAUAAAGCGGCAUGUCACUGUAAGGGAAGUCAUUAUAUCCGACUUUUUUAUAAAGAAUUUUAUAUGAAAACCAAACUUCGUCAUGCAAUUACGUUAUAAUAACCGGUUGGUCAAUAUAGGCGGAGUCAUAAUAAACGGAUUCUUCUGUA